GCACCACAAGAGGUGGGACCUGCGGUUCAAUUGGAUUCAACGCCGGAAAACUCACCAGGGGCGACAGCUGGUUGACGGCCAGAUUGACGAUCUUGCCCGACUAGCUGAGAGGUGGUGCAUGGCCAUCGUCAGCUCGUACCGUCAGGCGUCCUGUUAAGUCAGGCAACGAGCGAGAUCCUCGCCCUUAGUUGCCAUCGGUGGAAAGCCGGGCACUCUAGGGGGACCGCUGGCGCUAAGUCAGAGGAAGGAGAGGGCGACGGUAGGUCAGUAUGCCCCGAAUCCCCUGGGCUACACGCGGGUCACAAUGCGCAGGACGAUGAGAUGCAACCCCGUAAGGGGAAGCCAAACCCAUAAACCUGCGCUCGGUUCGGAUCGAGGGCUGUAACUCGCCCUCGUGAAGCUGGAAUCUCUAGUAAUCGCGUGCCAACACCGCGCGGUGAAUGCGUCCCUGCUCCUUGCACACACCGCCCGUCAAGCCACUCGAGUGGGGUUUGGAUGAGGUCAGUUCAAGUUGUGCUGCUCGAAUCCGAGUUCUGCAAGAGGGGCU
Molecule: ribosomal RNA, 547 nt
Filed under: uncultured archaeon
Lineage: Archaea
Description: bacterial SSU rRNA
Rfam family: Archaeal small subunit ribosomal RNA
Source: RNAcentral